Molecule: ribosomal RNA, 439 nt
Filed under: uncultured bacterium
Lineage: Bacteria
Description: bacterial SSU rRNA
Rfam family: Bacterial small subunit ribosomal RNA
Source: RNAcentral
UACGGAAGGCAGCAGUGGGGAAUAUUGCACAAUGGGCGCAAGCCUGAUGCAGCCAUGCCGCGUGUAUGAAGAGGGCCUUCGGGUUGUAAAGUACUUUCAGUCGUGAGGAAGGUGUUAAGGUUAAUAACCUUAGCAAUUGACGUUAGCGACAGAAGAAGCACCGGCUAACUCCGUGCCAGCAGCCGCGGUAAUACGGAGGGUGCGAGCGUUAAUCGGAAUUACUGGGCGUAAAGGGCACGCAGGCGGUUAAUUAAGUUGGAUGUGAAAUCCCCGGGCUUAACCUGGGAAUGGCAUUCAAGACUGGUUAGCUAGAGUCUUGUAGAGGGGGUAGAAUUCCAUGUGUAGCGGUGAAAUGCGUAGAGAUGUGGAGGAAUACCGGUGGCGAAGGCGGCCCCUGGGCAAAGGCUGACGCUCAUGUGCGAAAGCGUGGGGAGCAAAC